CUGCAUGAUGGAGCUGAACCUGGUCCACCUUGAACCUGGAUAUGCCACCUGAUGCAUUUACUUAUGUUUUAGAAAUUGCAGAAUUGUUUAUAAUGAAAUCGUAUGAAAAUGUUACGGUUCAAAAAUCAUGAAUCUUCUUUCAGAACUACCUCCUAAUGUGUUGUGUCUACUUCUGUAGGCAGAAACCAAAUGAUGUGUUUGCUUUGUUCAGAAUACCGUCUACCUCCUAGUGUGUUAUGCCUACUUCAGAAACCAAAUGAUGUGUUUGCUUUCUUUGAAUACCGUCUAAUUGAACCUGCAUCCCUCACCAAAAUUUGUUGGCGAAG
This 326-nucleotide long non-coding RNA is filed under the name Fragaria vesca (wild strawberry). RNAcentral describes it as "long non-coding RNA (FVES_LNC003814)". The record is from RNAcentral. Lineage: Eukaryota; Viridiplantae; Streptophyta; Magnoliopsida; Rosales; Rosaceae.